UCAGGAUCCUGGUCCAGUGCAGCACUUGAAUGUAAUGGAUGAGGGUUAUUGGCCACAGCAGUUCGCAUGGGGGCAACCAACUUCCCAUUUAGACUGACUUCCAUCCGUCCUGAAACCAAAUGGGCCAGUCGUAACCAUUUAUCUAAAAUGGGGCAAAUUUGAUACAAAGACUGACUGAGGGGAGCAACCAAUGAGGGCAUUGCAGAGAAGAAACAAGGAUGGAUUUGACACCUGCUCGUCGCGCCGCGUUACCGCCAGGAAUUCUCAAAUAGCAUGCAGACCCGUGUCUCCGGGUGUGGAGGCCUCCGCACCAGCCGACAUUUGUCACAUCACUCGCUCGGAGCGCGUUGGGGUCGCCGGUCCCUUCUCUGCCACCCCCUCAUCAGGAUAAUUAAGCUUUCUCAGCCUGCUGCACACAAACGGGGGAAUUUCGCCAGCCCCUCCAAACUGUGGAGAUAGUCUGCAAAUUGCCUCUGAUUCGCCACCUGAUUGUGCUAUGAUUAUGUUGUCACUGGAUGCUGUGAUUAUGAUGGCCCAUAAUUGCUGGUGUGCAUUAGCUGCCACACGACGCCCCCCGAUCUCGCCGUCUACCUGUCUGUGUAUCUAUCGACCUCCUCUUUGUCUAUAAGUCGCCUUUUUCCCCCCCGUGUCACCGCUCCGUCUCAAUGUCUUUAUUUCUUCUCACUAGUCCAGACAAACACCGGGUGAUUCCAGUUGUGCAACACUGUAAUAUUCUUUAAUGCAGGGUUGCAGCUUGAUGAUGGAACAUUCCACAGUUGAUGUCUGUGCCUUUUUUUACUCAUGUUUGAAUGUGUUUAAACCACUUAACUGCCAUUUUAUCCAUUGGGUCUGUUCCUGAAAAUAGAUUUGUUGAUUAGUAUUGAGGUUUUCUCCGUCAGGGCCACCUUGAGCAAUGACUCCGCACUGGCACCUGAGAAAAUUGAACUCAAACGCAGCGUCUGCUCGGGACACCUUGGCAAUUUCAUGAUUUAGCCAAGGUGUGUGUCUGUGUGUGUUGCUGGGAUGAGAUGGUGGCGCGGGUAUUGUUUUACAAGAUGUACAAACACACUUGUCCAACAGGCAUGCAUACAAAGUGUCUCCUCGUGGCACGGGGAAUCUCAUUUUCAUGAAUGGCACGAAGUCACCUGCGGCAAGCCAGCAGAAUGUGCCACAUCUCGGUGCAGGGGAAAAGCCAUUUGUUUGAGUGGUGAAACAGGGAAG
Paralichthys olivaceus (Japanese flounder) is the source of this 1221-nucleotide non-coding RNA. Lineage: Eukaryota; Metazoa; Chordata; Actinopteri; Pleuronectiformes; Paralichthyidae. The record is from RefSeq and is a predicted model, not a curated record.